Molecule: ribosomal RNA, 1389 nt
Filed under: Salmonella enterica subsp. enterica serovar Enteritidis
Lineage: Bacteria; Pseudomonadati; Pseudomonadota; Gammaproteobacteria; Enterobacterales; Enterobacteriaceae
Description: partial 23S ribosomal RNA
Rfam family: Bacterial large subunit ribosomal RNA
Source: RNAcentral
AGGCACUACGGUGCUGAAGCAACAAAUGCCCUGCUUCCAGGAAAAGCCUCUAAGCAUCAGGUAACAUCAAAUCGUACCCCAAACCGACACAGGUGGUCAGGUAGAGAAUACCAAGGCGCUUGAGAGAACUCGGGUGAAGGAACUAGGCAAAAUGGUGCCGUAACUUCGGGAGAAGGCACGCUGACACGUAGGUGAAGUGAUUUACUCAUGGAGCUGAAGUCAGUCGAAGAUACCAGCUGGCUGCAACUGUUUAUUAAAAACACAGCACUGUGCAAACACGAAAGUGGACGUAUACGGUGUGACGCCUGCCCGGUGCCGGAAGGUUAAUUGAUGGGGUCAGCGCAAGCGAAGCUCCUGAUCGAAGCCCCGGUAAACGGCGGCCGUAACUAUAACGGUCCUAAGGUAGCGAAAUUCCUUGUCGGGUAAGUUCCGACCUGCACGAAUGGCGUAAUGAUGGCCAGGCUGUCUCCACCCGAGACUCAGUGAAAUUGAACUCGCUGUGAAGAUGCAGUGUACCCGCGGCAAGACGGAAAGACCCCGUGAACCUUUACUAUAGCUUGACACUGAACAUUGAGCCUUGAUGUGUAGGAUAGGUGGGAGGCUUUGAAGUGUGGACGCCAGUCUGCAUGGAGCCGACCUUGAAAUACCACCCUUUAAUGUUUGAUGUUCUAACGUGGACCCGUUACCCGGGUUGCGGACAGUGUCUGGUGGGUAGUUUGACUGGGGCGGUCUCCUCCUAAAGAGUAACGGAGGAGCACGAAGGUUGGCUAAUCCUGGUCGGACAUCAGGAGGUUAGUGCAAUGGCAUAAGCCAGCUUGACUGCGAGCGUGACGGCGCGAGCAGGUGCGAAAGCAGGUCAUAGUGAUCCGGUGGUUCUGAAUGGAAGGGCCAUCGCUCAACGGAUAAAAGGUACUCCGGGGAUAACAGGCUGAUACCGCCCAAGAGUUCAUAUCGACGGCGGUGUUUGGCACCUCGAUGUCGGCUCAUCACAUCCUGGGGCUGAAGUAGGUCCCAAGGGUAUGGCUGUUCGCCAUUUAAAGUGGUACGCGAGCUGGGUUUAGAACGUCGUGAGACAGUUCGGUCCCUAUCUGCCGUGGGCGCUGGAGAACUGAGGGGGGCUGCUCCUAGUACGAGAGGACCGGAGUGGACGCAUCACUGGUGUUCGGGUUGUCAUGCCAAUGGCACUGCCCGGUAGCUAAAUGCGGAAGAGAUAAGUGCUGAAAGCAUCUAAGCACGAAACUUGCCCCGAGAUGAGUUCUCCCUGAGACUUAGAGUCUCCUGAAGGAACGUUGAAGACGACGACGUUGAUAGGCCGGGUGUGUAAGCGCAGCGAUGCGUUGAGCUAACCGGUACUAAUGAACCGUGAGGCUUAACCUUACAACGCCGAAG